AACGAACGCUGGCGGCAUGCCUAACACAUGCAAGUCGAACGAGACCUUCGGGUCUAGUGGCGCACGGGUGCGUAACGCGUAUGCAACCUACCUCAAUCAGGGGGAUAGCCCGAAGAAAUUCGGAUUAACACCGCAUAAAAACACAGUACAGCAUUGUACAAUGUUCAAAUAUUUAUAGGAUUGAGAUGGGCAUGCGUGUC
Molecule: ribosomal RNA, 200 nt
Filed under: uncultured bacterium
Lineage: Bacteria
Description: partial 16S ribosomal RNA
Rfam family: Bacterial small subunit ribosomal RNA
Source: RNAcentral